AACAGAAAGAGGAGGCGGUGAAGUUGAAUAUGGAGGAGUAGAAAAUGGAGGUAAAGAGAGUGAUGACAGAGAUGGAGGAGAAAAAAAGGAGGUGGAUCAGUUGAAGGAGGCAAUAGAGGAGAAAUAGGAGAAGAUGGAGAGUGUGAGCGAGUAAGAGAUAAACAACAGAAAUGUAAUUGGAGGAUGUGGAGAGAGUCCGAGAGGAUUUGGAAGAAGGGAUGAAACAGUUGAAAGAGAGAGAGGAAAUGUUUAAGAAGAAGGUGGAGUAGGUGAAGCUGGAGAAGAAGGAGAAGGUCAAGAUAGGAGGGUGAAAUGAGGAGACGAGAUAAGGCGAUUCCCAGAUGGGACAGCUACCAUCAUUUCAUCGUUGACCUCAUCAAAAGGGAGUAGGAUAAAGAGAGGAACACACACACCCAAAUUAUAAAUACAGGCAUGCAAAGACAAAUUGGUUAUUGGUCCAUGGCAUGUGAUGGAAUGGUGACUGACUAGAGAAAAUUGUUUAUUGGGCAUUUUAAUGACCUAUCCUACCUUUAUAAGUGUGACAUUGAUUUAUAAGUAUGUCCUACUUAUGAACAAUACAUUUACUAUUGUAAUCGUGCAGAUCUGACGACAUCGCUAUUGUCCUAUCCAUGACCAUGCACACCCGUGCCAAGUGCUUGCCACGGUUUCUGCAUUGAUUGACAAAUGUAACAGUCUGUUCACCAUGGCGGGUAUACGUACAGGAAGCCUACUUGUCAGAACCUGUAAUAGCCUAUUCUCUCAGUGUAUUUACCAAGUUCCUAACUAAAACAUAGAAUUUCUCGUGUUGCAAUGUCAUUAUACAUUUGUUCAAUUCGGCCUAUACCUUCUCUGACUGUGCCUAGAUAGUCAUUCAACCAGACAUAUGUGGUAUAUGACAUCAACUUGUGAAACUGUGCUGACUCAACUGGAAUACGAAAUCAGAGACUACCACCUAGUGGCAUUUGUUAGUAGUAGCAUCUCUUUUACAGUCGCACACAUCAAAUUACAAUCAAUUUACAAUCGCACAUAUCAAUGCAGAGAAAACAUUUAUUUGCAAAAAGAAUGCAUACAUUUCUUAAGCAGUACAUGAUCCUAAUAAUCUUCAGAAUCAUUAUAAUGGCAAAGGCAGUUUUGAAACAAAAUAUACAUAAUACGCAAUCUUCUGGAACACUGUAAUGCAUACAUCUUCAAAACAUUUAAAUUUAAAUACAUAAAAGCAAUUUAACAUUGAUUUUUAUUUUGUUUCAUGUAUAGUUUGUACUUCAAGUAAAGAGGUUACAUUGAAUAAGUGAGCUUGUUGUAUUUCACGCUUUUUUGCACGCAGAGCACUUGUGGAAGUAUGAGUGUAACGGUUCUCUUUAGUUGAAGGAGAGGCGGACCAAAAUGCGGCGUGAUGAUGAUUCAUGUUUGUUUAAUAAAGGAAAAACUAUACAUGAAUAAACUACAAAACAAUGAAAUGUG
This is a long non-coding RNA of Oncorhynchus tshawytscha (Chinook salmon), 1461 nucleotides long. The record is from Ensembl. NCBI's taxonomy places the organism in Eukaryota, Metazoa, Chordata, Actinopteri, Salmoniformes, Salmonidae.